CAACUAAAUAAUUGGGAAAGUUGUCCUUUGCAAGCUUUUGGGUACAAACACCCUUCUUCAGGCACAGGGAGAGUGUUUUAGUUAACACAGGAGAA
This is a long non-coding RNA of Gavialis gangeticus (Gharial), 95 nucleotides long. RefSeq lists it as uncharacterized. The record is from RefSeq and is a predicted model, not a curated record. NCBI's taxonomy places the organism in Eukaryota, Metazoa, Chordata, Crocodylia, Gavialidae. The transcript is spliced from 3 exons.